AUUGAACGCUGGCGGCAGGCCUAACACAUGCAAGUCGAGCGGUAGAGAGAAGCUUGCUUCUCUUGAGAGCGGCGGACGGGUGAGUAAUGCCUAGGAAUCCGCCUGGUAGUGGGGGAUAACGUUCGGAAACGGACGCUAAUACCGCAUACGUCCUACGGGAGAAAGCAGGGGACCUUCGGGCCUUGCGCUAUCAGAUGAGCCUAGGUCGGAUUAGCUAGUUGGAGAGGUAAUGGCUCACCAAGGCGACGAUCCGUAACUGGUCUGAGAGGAUGAUCAGUCACACUGGAACUGAGACACGGUCCAGACUCCUACGGGAGGCAGCAGUGGGGAAUAUUGGACAAUGGGUAAAGCCUGAUCCAGCCAUGCCGCGUGUGUGAAGAAGGUCUUCGGAUUGUAAAGCACUUUAAGUUGGGAGGAAGGGUUGUAGAUUAAUACUCUGCAAUUUUGACGUUACCGACAGAAUAAGCACCGGCUAACUCUGUGCCAGCCGCCGCCGUAA
RNAcentral lists this ribosomal RNA (499 nucleotides) under uncultured bacterium. RNAcentral describes it as "partial 16S ribosomal RNA". It matches the Rfam family "Bacterial small subunit ribosomal RNA", at positions 30 to 523 of the family's 1533-position model. The record is from RNAcentral.